This 484-nucleotide ribosomal RNA is filed under the name uncultured bacterium. RNAcentral's name for it is "partial 16S ribosomal RNA". It matches the Rfam family "Bacterial small subunit ribosomal RNA", at positions 28 to 523 of the family's 1533-position model. The record is from RNAcentral.
GACGAACGCUGGCGGCGUGCUUAACACAUGCAAGUCGAACGAUGAAGCCGGAGCUUGCUCUGGUGAAUUAGUGGCGAACGGGUGAGUAACACGUGAGUAACCUGCCCUUGACUCUGGGAUAACUGCGGGAAACUGUAGCUAAUACCGGAUACGACCCUCGGAGGCAUCUCCUGGGGGUGGAAAGAAUUUCGGUCAAGGAUGGACUCGUGGCCUAUCAGCUAGUUGGUGAGGUAAAGGCUCACCAAGGCGACGACGGGUAGCCGGCCUGAGAGGGUGACCGGCCACACUGGGACUGAGACACGGCCCAGACUCCUACGGGAGGCAGCAGUGGGGAAUAUUGCACAAUGGGCGCGAGCCUGAUGCAGCAACGCCGCGUGAGGGAUGACGGCCUUCGGGUUGUAAACCUCUUUUAGCAGGGAAGAAGCGAAAGUGACGGUACCUGCAGAAAAAGCACCGGCUAACUACGUGCCAGCCGCCGCGGUAA